UAUUAAAAAUUUCAUCCAUUUGUAUUGUUAAAAUUGGCGUGUUUGACGGAAUAGCUAAGUAGUGCCACGUGUACCUCAUCCUGAUGUAUGAGGACCAAUUUUUACCGAUAGAAAUGGAUGAAAUUUUUAAAA
Molecule: non-coding RNA, 132 nt
Organism: Gossypium arboreum
Lineage: Eukaryota; Viridiplantae; Streptophyta; Magnoliopsida; Malvales; Malvaceae
Source: Rfam